This 868-nucleotide long non-coding RNA is filed under the name Equus asinus (donkey). RNAcentral describes it as "lncRNA (ENSEASG00005035159.1)". Lineage: Eukaryota; Metazoa; Chordata; Mammalia; Perissodactyla; Equidae. The record is from RNAcentral.
GUUAAUUUAACUUUUUUAAUAUCAAUCAUUAACAUUCAUCAAAUUAACAGAAUAAAGGAGAAGAACCAUUAGAUCAUUUCACUAGAUUCAGAAAAAGCAUUUGACAAAAUUCAACACCCAUUUAUGAUAUAAUAUCUUGAUAAACUAGUGAUAGAAGGGAACAUUCUCAAUCAAAUAAAGGAUAUCUAUAAAAACCGACAUCUAACAUCAUACUGAAGAGUGAAAGAUUUUCCUCCUAACAUUAGGAACAAGGAAAGGACUUCCACAGCCAACAUUGCUAACCAACAUUGUAGUGAAAGGCAAUAGAGCAAAGUAAAGAAAUAAAGACACACAAUGUGAAAGUAAUAACUAAAACUGUUUUAAUGACAUGAUGAUGUAUGCAGAAGCUCCCAAAGAAUCCACCAAAAAAGCUACUAGAAUUAACAAUUCAAAUCUGGCAUCAACCCAAAAGUCUAUCUACAAAUGAAUGGAAUUGUUAAAGAAAUUCUGGUAUAUUCAUAUCAGGGAGUACUACUCACUGUGGAGGCAAGAAUCUUCGAGGCCAUCUUAGAAUCCUGCCUAUCAUGUCAACGAUGUGGAUAAAUUUCAGAAACUGUGUGCUGAGUGGAAUAAGCCAAACUUAAAGAGAAUACAUAUAUGAUCCCACUUAUUUGACUCUCUCAGAAAGAUAACUGGGCUGUAUGGUAAGCAAAAGCAGAUCAACAGUUACCUGGAUUGGGAGGUGGAAGAUUGACCGGGAGGAGGCACAAGGAACUUCUUGGGGUGAGGAAAUUAUUAUGUACCUUCAUAUUGACAGUGUUUACAUAAGUCUAUAAAGCUGUUAGAACUCAUCAAACUAUACACUUAAAAUGUGUACGCUAUAUUUUAC